RNAcentral lists this ribosomal RNA (376 nucleotides) under uncultured organism. RNAcentral describes it as "partial 16S ribosomal RNA". It matches the Rfam family "Bacterial small subunit ribosomal RNA", at positions 527 to 896 of the family's 1533-position model. The record is from RNAcentral.
GUAGGUGGCAAGCGUUGUCCGGGAAUUAUUGGGGCGUAAAGCGCGCGCAGGCGGUUCUUUAAGUCUGAUGUGAAAAGCCCACGGGCUCAACCGUGGAGGGUCAUUGGAAACUGGAGAACUUGAGUACAGAAGAGGAAAGCGGAAUUCCACGUGUAGCGGUGAAAUGCGUAGAGAUGUGGAGGAACACCAGUGGCGAAGGCGGCUUUCUGGUCUGUAACUGACGCUGAGGCGCGAAAGCGUGGGGAGCAAACAGGAUUAGAUACCCUGGUAGUCCACGCCGUAAGCGAUGAGUGCUAAGUGUUAGGGGGUUUCCGCCCCUUAGUGCUGCAGCUAACGCAUUAAGCACUCCGCCUGGGGAGUACGGCCGCAAAGGCUG